UGGGGUGUAUGCUCAGUGGCAGAGCAUUUGUUUAGUAUGCAAAAGGUCAUGGGUUUGAUCUUCAUCACCACAU
RNAcentral lists this transfer RNA (73 nucleotides) under Heterocephalus glaber (naked mole-rat). It matches the Rfam family "tRNA". From Rfam's summary of the family: Transfer RNA (tRNA) molecules are approximately 80 nucleotides in length. Their secondary structure includes four short double-helical elements and three loops (D, anti-codon, and T loops). Further hydrogen bonds mediate the characteristic L-shaped molecular structure. tRNAs have two regions of fundamental functional importance: the anti-codon, which is responsible for specific mRNA codon recognition, and the 3' end, to which the tRNAs corresponding amino acid is attached (by aminoacyl-tRNA synthetases). tRNAs cope with the degeneracy of the genetic code in two manners: having more than one tRNA (with a specific anti-codon) for a particular amino acid; and 'wobble' base-pairing, i.e. permitting non-standard base-pairing at the 3rd anti-codon position. Lineage: Eukaryota; Metazoa; Chordata; Mammalia; Rodentia; Bathyergidae. The record is from Rfam by way of RNAcentral.